GAGGGUACAGUUCAGCAGUAGAAUGUGUGCUUAACAUGCACAAGGUCCUGAGUGCAAUCCCCAGUACCUCCA
RNAcentral lists this transfer RNA (72 nucleotides) under Camelus ferus (Wild Bactrian camel). It matches the Rfam family "tRNA". From Rfam's summary of the family: Transfer RNA (tRNA) molecules are approximately 80 nucleotides in length. Their secondary structure includes four short double-helical elements and three loops (D, anti-codon, and T loops). The record is from Rfam by way of RNAcentral. Lineage: Eukaryota; Metazoa; Chordata; Mammalia; Artiodactyla; Camelidae.